RNAcentral lists this unclassified non-coding RNA (286 nucleotides) under uncultured Agaricales. RNAcentral describes it as "sequence contains 5.8S rRNA gene, ITS2, 28S rRNA gene". The stretch from base 1 to 52 matches the Rfam family "5.8S ribosomal RNA", at positions 103 to 154 of the family's 154-position model. Lineage: Eukaryota; Fungi; Basidiomycota; Agaricomycetes; Agaricales. The record is from RNAcentral.
AACGCAUCUUGCGCUCCUUGGUAUUCCGAGGAGCAUGCCUGUUUGAGUGUCAUCAAAUUCUCAACCUCAUUCAUUUAUUGAUUGAUUGAUUGGUUGGAUGUGGAGGUCUGCAGGACUACUUUUGUUAUCUGCUCCUCUGAAAUGUAUUAGUGGCAGAAAGAAAAUCCACAGAUGUGAUAAAUUUAUCUAUGUCUUGGAAUAUAAAAUAGUUUUGUGCUGCUUUACAAUUUUCUUGAUUGACACAAAUCUUGACCUCAAAUCAGGUAGGACUACCUGCUGAACUUAA